AAUAAAAUUGUACAAAACUUUCACAAUUUAAGUCAAAAAAAAAUUUAAUGGAGGCAAAAUCCUAAUUUUUUUAAUGCACCCAAUUUCAAUAGAGCCAAAAUCUUAAUUUUUUCAAUGGAGGUAAAAAAAAAAAAAUUGAGAUAAAAUCCAAAUUUUUUCAAUGGAGGCAAAAACAAAUUUUAAUGGAGCCAAAAUAAAAAUUAAUAGAGCCAAAAUAAAAAUUAAUAGAGCCAAAUACCAAGUACCAACUAAACCCUUUCUCAUCAAAACACCUAAAACUCAAAAUUGUUCCUCUUUCACCCAAUCUGAGCCCUAAUUUUAGCCCCAAUCUGAGCCCCAAUCAUUCUCUUCUCCUUCUCGCCGUUCUCACUGUUCUCCUUCAGCCAAUCUGAGCCCUAAUCUGAGCCCCAAUCUGAGCCCCAAUAGUUGUCUUCCCCUUCUCGCCGUUCUCACUGUUCUCCUUCAGCCAAUCUGAGCCCUAAUCUGAGCCCCAAUCUGAGCCCCAAUAGUUGUCUUCCCCUUCUCGCCGUUCUCACUGUUCUCCUUCAGCCAAUCUGAGCCCUAAUCUGAGCCCCAAUCUGAGCCCCAAUAGUUGUCUUCUCCUUCUCGCCGUUCUCACUCAAAACUGCCGUUCUCGCCGUUCUCGCUGUUCUCGCCGUUCUCGCCG
This 667-nucleotide long non-coding RNA is filed under the name Cicer arietinum (chickpea). RNAcentral describes it as "long non-coding RNA (CARI_LNC000308)". The record is from RNAcentral. Lineage: Eukaryota; Viridiplantae; Streptophyta; Magnoliopsida; Fabales; Fabaceae.